CGACUCUGACACGCAAAAACUCAGAGAUGUCUCAUCGCACACAAGAGCUGGAGACGCGGCUGCAGGUGCAGGAGAGUGAACUUAGCACAGCUAGAGAAGAGCAGAGAAGCAGUCAGAAGAGCUGCCACAGGCUGGAAGAACAGCUGCUGUCUUCCCAGCAUGAGUCUGAGAGACUGCAGGAGGAACUGAAGCUGGUUGUUCAGCAGCUUGACACUAACAUCCGGAGAUACAACGAGAAACAGUCUCAGCACAAAACCAAGUUGCGCAGAGCUAAACAGAUCUUCAUGAAGACAGUCACCCAACAUGAACAC
RNAcentral lists this long non-coding RNA (311 nucleotides) under Sinocyclocheilus anshuiensis. RNAcentral's name for it is "lncRNA (ENSSANG00000030706.1)". Lineage: Eukaryota; Metazoa; Chordata; Actinopteri; Cypriniformes; Cyprinidae. The record is from RNAcentral.